UCAUCUCAUUGUUUCUGUCUCUGUCUGGUAGGAGAAAAAAGAUGAACCAGAGAUGGGGAAAGAAAAGGGCCUGAGGCUGAAGAUGAGAUGACCCCUAUCAGAACAAGGGGAUUGGUCACUGACUUAAUCAGGGCCCUGGGAUUGGUUUCAGGACCAGUGCUGAUGGUGCAGAAUGGGAAUGACUUUCCGUGGUGUUGCUGUGUCAAGCAUCACUCCACCUAGAGAGAGGAUCAUCUACGUGAAAUGCAGAAGGGAGAAGCACAUCGAUGUCCAUACUGUAAACCUGUGAGCACAUCUUGCUGCCUUCGGCCCCUGUUCUUUACAGGAGUCCACUGCCUCUAGCUAUUCUCUUCAGAGGGUUAAUGCUGGGGAAACAGGGUCUAAAUAUCUGACUGGGGCGCAAUGUGCCUAACACUAAAACUGUGACCUGGAAUGCAAAUCAAAUGGUCUUACUUAAUGAAGAAAUGACAAGGAAUCAGUCGAUUUGGUUUUUUUGGCACAUAGUUCUAAUUAUAUGACUGUUAUUUUAUUUGGAUUAUCUCAUUUUUUCAGGAAGUUGCAUCCUGACCUCAGGAAGCCAAUCUUUGUCUUUCCAACAUCAUUUUAUACAUUUCCAAAGUCUUGACUAGAGAAUAUAUCAGGAAUUUUCCAUUUUAAUCAUAAUUUUGCCUCAACAAUAACAUAAAAAUGUUUUAUUCAUUUUUCUUACACACUAUUUGACUCUUCUGCCCUCUUUAUUUUGUUCUAAUUUGAUUGUGUGUUUGGCUCAGGCUGUGGGGGAACAGUGCAUUAGGAAGAGAGCCAUCACAUUUUGAGGGUCGCCAGCUGGCGAAAGUUUACAUUUGGUGGAUCCUACUUGCAGAAGAGUUGGUGAACUUGUCAUUGGGUCUUUUAUUCUGAAGUAUUGUGUAGUUUUGUGUUACCACAUGCUUAAUUAAAUUAACUGAGUGCUUGCUGUAUGCUGAGUGUCACACGGCGGAGAGCUAAAAAAAAAAUUUCCUGUCACAUCAUCGGUCAGUUUCCU
This 1024-nucleotide long non-coding RNA is filed under the name Mustela putorius furo (domestic ferret). Its description in RNAcentral is "lncRNA (ENSMPUG00000026581.1)". The record is from RNAcentral. Lineage: Eukaryota; Metazoa; Chordata; Mammalia; Carnivora; Mustelidae.